Molecule: ribosomal RNA, 399 nt
Filed under: uncultured bacterium
Lineage: Bacteria
Description: partial 16S ribosomal RNA
Rfam family: Bacterial small subunit ribosomal RNA
Source: RNAcentral
CCUACGGGGGGCAGCAGUGAGGAAUAUUGGUCAAUGGACGAGAGUCUGAACCAGCCAAGCAGCGUGCAGGAUGACUGCCCUAUGGGUUGUAAACUUCUUUUAUAUGGGAGUAAAAUGUUCUACGUGUAGGAUUUUGUAUGUACCAUACGAAUAAGGAUCGGCUAACUCCGUGCCAGCAGCCGCGGUAAUACGGAGGAUCCGAGCGUUAUCCGGAUUUAUUGGGUUUAAAGGGAGCGUAGGUGGAUUGUUAAGUUAGUUGUGAAAUUUUGCGGCUCAACUGUAAAAUUGCAGUGGAUACUGGCAGUCUAGAGUACAGUAGAGGUAGGCGGAAUUCGUGGUGUAGCGGUGAAAUGCGUAGAUAUCACGAAGAACACCGAUGGCGAAGGCAGCUUACUGGGC